CCCUUAGAUGUCCUGGGCCGCACGCGCGUUACACUGAUGCAUUCAACGAGCUUAUAACCUUGGCCGAGAGGCCUGGGCAAUCUUGUUAACGUGCAUCGUGAUAGGGAUAGAUUAUUGAAAUUAUUAAUCUUGAACGAGGAAUUCCUAGUAAACGCAGAUCAUCAAUCUGCAUUGAUUACGUCCCUGCCCUUUGUACACACCGCCCGUCGCUGCAACUGAUUGGGUGACCUGGUGAACAUCUUGGACCGGCCCACUCAAUUUCGAGAGGACUGGAAAAGGCCGUAAAUCAGGUACAUCUAGAAAUUGCAAGUCGUAACA
Molecule: ribosomal RNA, 318 nt
Filed under: uncultured eukaryote
Lineage: Eukaryota
Description: partial 18S ribosomal RNA
Rfam family: Eukaryotic small subunit ribosomal RNA
Source: RNAcentral